ACGGGAGGCAGCAGUGGGGAAUAUUGGGCAAUGGGCGAAAGCCUGACCCAGCGACGCCGCGUGAGGGAAGAAGGUCUUCGGUAUGUAAAGCUCUAUCAGCAGGAAAGAUAAUGACGGUACCUGACUAAGAAGCACCGGCUAAAUACGUGCCAGCAGCCGCGGUAAUACGUAUGGUGCAAGCGUUAUCCGGAUUUACUGGGUGUAAAGGGAGCGUAGACGGCAUGGCAAGCCAGAUGUGAAAGGCAGGGGCUCAACUCCUGGACUGCAUUUGGAACUGUCAAGCUAGAGUAUCGGAGAGGUAAGUGGAAUUCCUAGUGUAGCGGUGAAAUGCGUAGAUAUUAGGAGGAACACCAGUGGCGAAGGCGGCUUGCUGGACGAUAACUGACGUUGGGGCUCGAAAGCGUGGGGAGCAAACAGGAUUAGAUACCCUGGUA
This 434-nucleotide ribosomal RNA is filed under the name uncultured Lachnospiraceae bacterium. Its description in RNAcentral is "partial 16S ribosomal RNA". It matches the Rfam family "Bacterial small subunit ribosomal RNA", at positions 341 to 792 of the family's 1533-position model. Lineage: Bacteria; Bacillati; Bacillota; Clostridia; Lachnospirales; Lachnospiraceae. The record is from RNAcentral.